Molecule: ribosomal RNA, 254 nt
Filed under: uncultured bacterium
Lineage: Bacteria
Description: partial 16S ribosomal RNA
Rfam family: Bacterial small subunit ribosomal RNA
Source: RNAcentral
CACGUAGGGGGCGAGCGUUGUCCGGAUUUAUUGGGCGUAAAGGGCUCGUAGGCGGCUCAGUAAGUCGGGUGUGAAACCUCCAGGCUCAACCUGGAGACGCCACUCGAUACUGCUGUGGCUAGAGUCCGGUAGGGGAGCAUGGAAUUCCUGGUGUAGCGGUGAAAUGCGCAGAUAUCAGGAGGAACACCAGCGGCGAAGGCGGCGCUCUGGGCCGGAACUGACGCUGAGGAGCGAAAGCGUGGGUAGCAAACAGG